CCUACGGGUGGCAGCAGUGAGGAAUAUUGGUCAAUGGACGCAAGUCUGAACCAGCCAUGCCGCGUGCAGGAAGACGGCUCUAUGAGUUGUAAACUGCUUUUGUACGGGGGUAAACGCAGAUACGCGUAUCUGUCUGAAAGUAUCGUACGAAUAAGGAACGGCUAACUCCGUGCCAGCAGCCGCGGUAAUACGGAGGAUUCAAGCGUUAUCCGGAUUGAUUGGGUUUAAAGGGUGCGUAGGCGGUCGGAUAAGUUAGAGGUGAAAUCCCGGGGCUCAACUUCGGAAUUGCCUCUGAUACUGUUAGGCUAGAGAGUAGUUGCGGUAGGCAGAAUGUAAGGUGUAGCGGUGAAAUGCUUAGAGAUCAUACAGAACACCGAUUGCGAAGGCAGCUUACCAAGCUACUUCUGACGUUGAGGCGCGAAAGCGUGGGGAGCAAACAGGAUUAGAUACCCUAGUAGUC
Molecule: ribosomal RNA, 460 nt
Filed under: uncultured bacterium
Lineage: Bacteria
Description: partial 16S ribosomal RNA
Rfam family: Bacterial small subunit ribosomal RNA
Source: RNAcentral